UACGUAGGGUGCAAGCGUUGUCCGGAAUUAUUGGGCGUAAAGAGCUCGUAGGCGGCUUGUCGCGUCGGCUGUGAAAACCUGGGCUCAACCCCGGGCCUGCAGCCGAUACGGGCAAGCUAGAAUUCGGUAGGGAGACUGGAAUUCCUGGUGUAGCGGUGAAAUGCGCAGAUAUCAGGAGGAACACCGGUGGCGAAGGCGGGUCUCUGGCCGAUAUUGACGCUGAGGAGCGAAGCGUGGGAGC
Molecule: ribosomal RNA, 241 nt
Filed under: uncultured bacterium
Lineage: Bacteria
Description: partial 16S ribosomal RNA
Rfam family: Bacterial small subunit ribosomal RNA
Source: RNAcentral